RNAcentral lists this ribosomal RNA (585 nucleotides) under uncultured bacterium. RNAcentral describes it as "partial 16S ribosomal RNA". It matches the Rfam family "Bacterial small subunit ribosomal RNA", at positions 355 to 1375 of the family's 1533-position model. The record is from RNAcentral.
UGAGGAAUUUUGGACAAUGGGCGAAAGCCUGAUCCAGCAAUGCCGCGUGUGUGAAGAAGGCCUUCGGGUUGUAAAGCACUUUUGUCCGGAAAGAAAUCCUUGGCUCUAAUACAGUCGGGGGAUGACGGUACCGGAGGAAUAAGCACCGGCUAACUACGUGCCAGCAGCCGCGGUAAUACGUAGGGUGCAAGCGUUAAUCGGAAUUACUGGGCGUAAAACGUGCGCAGGCGGUUUGCUAAGACCGAUGUGAAAUCCCCGGGCUCAACCUGGGAACUGCAUUGGUGACUGGCAGGCUAGAGUAUGGCAGAGGGGGGUAGAAUUCCACGUGUAGCAGUGAAAUGCGUAGAGAUGUGGAGGAAUACCGAUGGCGAAGGCAGCCCCCUGGGCCAAUACUGACGCUCGUGCACGAAAGCGUGGGGAGCAAACAGGAUUAGAUACCCUGGUAGUCCACGCCCUAAACGAUGUCAACUAGUUGUUGGGGAUUCAUUUCCUUAGUAACGUAGCUAACGCGUGAAGUUGACCGCCUGGGGAGUACGGUCGCAAGAUUAAAACUUAAAUGAAUUGACGGGGUCAUAGCUGUUUCCU